GUUAAUCAUCAAAUUUUUGAACGCAAAUUGCACUCUCUGGUAUUCCGGAGAGUAUGCCUGUUUGAGGGUCAGUUUAAAUAAAAAUCGGUGUGGCUGCUGCCUUUCGUGGUGACGCACCGGCUUUUGUUCGUCUUGCCUUCGGUUAAGUGACCUAAAAUUUUGCAUGAUUUUUUCGCACGUAUUUAAAUGAUUUUACGUACGUUUGCGAUGUCGAAUUCUAGGUGCGUU
This 228-nucleotide unclassified non-coding RNA is filed under the name Glomus sp. RNAcentral describes it as "partial contains 5.8S ribosomal RNA and internal transcribed spacer 2". The stretch from base 1 to 71 matches the Rfam family "5.8S ribosomal RNA", at positions 84 to 154 of the family's 154-position model. Lineage: Eukaryota; Fungi; Glomeromycota; Glomeromycetes; Glomerales; Glomeraceae. The record is from RNAcentral.